This 1776-nucleotide ribosomal RNA is filed under the name Triticum aestivum (bread wheat). Its description in RNAcentral is "partial small subunit ribosomal RNA". Lineage: Eukaryota; Viridiplantae; Streptophyta; Magnoliopsida; Poales; Poaceae. The record is from RNAcentral.
AUGAGUUUGGCUGUUCUUGCAAGGGCGCGAAAAAAGCAAUGUGCUAGGCUUGCUAACCUCAAGGAGGGGGAUGCGAAUACCAAGUUUUUUCAUCGUCGCGUCAAUGCGAGGCGUCGCAAGAACCACAUCCACCGGCUCAAACACAACCAAGGGUGGGUCACCGACCAUGACCACAAAGAAGCGAGGGACUAUGAUUUUAACUGGGAUGAGCUUGACUUGGGCUCUCAUGACCUCACGGCGUUGGGGGAGCCCAUCUCACUGGAGGAGGUCCAGGAGGCGAUCAAUCAAAUGCCAAGUGACAAAGCGCCCGGAUCUGAUGGGUUCACGGGGCUUUUCUUCAAGAAAUGUUGGGACACCAUCAAGGAUGACGUCAUGAAAGCCAUCUCUCUCUUCAGCAACCUCCGAACCGCAAAUCUGCAAUGGCUAAACUCCACUAAUGUUGUUCUUCUUCCGAAGAAGGAGGGAGCCGAGGGCAUCCUGGAUUACCGCCCCAUCAGCCUCAUCCAUGCGGUAGGCAAGAUCAUUGAGAAAGUUCUGGCCAUCCGGCUUGCUAGCCAUAUGCACUCCCUUGUCUCCCAUGCCCAGAGCGCCUUCAUCAAGACGAGGAGCAUCCACGACAACUUCAUGUAUGUCAGGAAUUUCGCGCGCCGGCUUCACAAGCGCAAGACGCCUGCGCUUCUCUUUAAGCUGGACAUUCGUAAGGCUUUUGACUCGGUGAGGUGGGAGUACCUGCUGGACCUCCUUCAGAAACGAGGAUUCCCUAGCAUCUUUCGGAAUUGGGUCGCCGCCCUGCUAUGCUCCUCCUCCUCGCGCAUCCUGCUGAAUGGGGUUGCUGGUGAGCCAAUCAUCCAUGGUUGUGGCCUUCGGCAAGGCGGCCCUCUGUCUCCGCUUCUCUUCGUCCUCGCGAUCGACCCUCUCCAGAAGCUGCUUGAGGUCGCCACUCGGAAAGGGCUAUUGCACAAAAUCUGUGGCCGAGGUGUGGCGCUGCGCAGCUCCCUCUACGCCGAUGAUGCUGUUGUCUUCUUGGCCCCAAUCAAAAGCGACGUCGACAACCUCUCCAACAUCUUGCGUCUAUUUGGGAAUGUCACUAGUCUGUGCACAAACUUCCUGAAGAGUUCGGUCGUCCCAAUCCGAUGCGGGAACAUCAACCUGCCGCACGUCACCCAAAGCUUACCUGCUGUGGCUGCUUCCUUCCCCAUCAAAUACCUGGGCCUGCCCUUAUCUGUUUGGCAACUCAAAACAGUGGACUUCCAGUUUCUCUUGGACAAGGCGACGGCAAAGCUAGGCGUCUGGGACGGCCAAAAUAUUACCGCCAUUGGGAGGUCGGCCUUGGUCAAGUCCGUGCUCUCCUCCUUAGCGGUCUACUUCAUCACCCCACUCAUUGUGCCGACGGGCACUCUACGGCAGCUCACAAAGCUUCAGAGGGCCUUCCUUUGGGCAGGAUCGGAUAAGACAACCGGUGCAAAAUGCAAGGUGAACUGGGAUAUCGUGUGUAGGCCUUCCGAGUUUGGGGGCCUUGGCGUACUCAACACGGAAAAUUUUGCGAGGGCACUAAGGCUGCGUUGGCUUUGGUUUGAGUGGAAGGAGCCGUCCAAGAUGUGGGUCGGUUUGGGGAACCCGUGCAACGACAAGGACUAUGAUCUUUUUUACGCCUUCUCCACCAUCACUGUUGGCAAUGGUGCCCGCACACCUUUUUGGGAUGCUCCUUGGGUGCAUGGGAGAAAGCCCAAAGACAUUGCUCCGCUCAUUUAUGGUGCCGCCACAAGGAAGAAUUGA